GGGCGUGUGGUCUAGUGGUAUGAUUCUCGCUUUGGGCGAAGCCUAGCCAAAACUGGGUUAAACUACUAAGCGAAGCCUAGCCAAAACUGGGUUAAACUACUAAGCAUGCGAGAGGCCCUGGGUUCAAUUCCCAGCUCGCCCC
This is a non-coding RNA of Eremothecium cymbalariae DBVPG#7215, 142 nucleotides long. The record is from the annotation of a RefSeq genome assembly. NCBI's taxonomy places the organism in Eukaryota, Fungi, Ascomycota, Saccharomycetes, Saccharomycetales, Saccharomycetaceae.